Molecule: ribosomal RNA, 492 nt
Filed under: Bacillus cereus
Lineage: Bacteria; Bacillati; Bacillota; Bacilli; Caryophanales; Bacillaceae
Description: partial 16S ribosomal RNA
Source: RNAcentral
GAAGGGAGAGGAGGAAGGGGGAGGAAAAAGGGGGGAAAAGGAAGAGAAGAAGGGGAGAAAGAAGGGAAAAAGGGGAGAAGAAAGGAGAAAAUGUGGAAAAAAAGGGUUAGAAAGUGAAAGGAGGAUUAGGAUGUAAAUUAUGGAUGGAAAAGAGUAGCAUUAGCUAGUUGGUGAGGUAAAGGAUAAAAAAGGAAAAGAUGAGUAGAAGAAAUGAGAGGGUGAUAGGAAAAAAUGGGAAUGAGAAAAGGAAAAGAAUAAUAAGGGAGUGAGAAGUAGGGAAUAUUAAGAAAUGGAAGAAAGUAUGAAGGAGCAAAGAAGAGUGAGUGAUGAAGGUUUUGGGGUAGUAAAACUCUGUUGUUAGGGAAGAAAAAGUGCUAGUUGAAUAAGCUGGCACCUUGACGGUAAAUAAAAAGAAAGAAAAGGAUAAAUAAGUGAAAGAAGAAGAGGUAAUAAGUAGGUGGCAAGCGUUAUCGGGAAUUAUUGGGCGUAAAG